UACGUAGGGUGCAAGCGUUGUCCGGAAUUAUUGGGCGUAAAGAGCUCGUAGGCGGUCUGUCACGUCGGACGUGAAAAUCCAGGGCUCAACCCUGGACCUGCGUUCGAUACGGGCAGACUAGAGUUCGGUAGGGGAGACUGGAAUUCCUGGUGUAGCGGUGAAAUGCGCAGAUAUCAGGAGGAACACCGGUGGCGAAGGCGGCAUCCUGGACCGGUAUUGACGCUGAUGCGCGAAAGCCAGGGGAGCAAACGGG
Molecule: ribosomal RNA, 253 nt
Filed under: uncultured bacterium
Lineage: Bacteria
Description: partial 16S ribosomal RNA
Rfam family: Bacterial small subunit ribosomal RNA
Source: RNAcentral